RNAcentral lists this non-coding RNA (74 nucleotides) under Streptomyces albireticuli. Lineage: Bacteria; Bacillati; Actinomycetota; Actinomycetes; Kitasatosporales; Streptomycetaceae. The record is from RNAcentral.
GGGGAAGUCCGGUCGAAAUCCGGCGCUGACCCGCAACGGUAGGCGGCACACCCGUGCCGCGAGCCCGAUCACCC